Molecule: long non-coding RNA, 346 nt
Filed under: Ananas comosus (pineapple)
Lineage: Eukaryota; Viridiplantae; Streptophyta; Magnoliopsida; Poales; Bromeliaceae
Description: long non-coding RNA (ACOM_LNC019166)
Source: RNAcentral
AAGAUAUUUAGCUUGAGGACUGGUACCAUGCAAAGCAAUUAGUUAUUUCUGAAAGCUUGAGCUAGUAGAUCGAGAGCGGUGAUAUAAUAUUUCACAUAAAUUUUGUAAUGUUCGAGAAUCCUUUGACAUAGUUUUCGUAAUUGACAAAAUAGCUACUUAAUUAGGAGGUUCUCCUAGAAUUUGAAGCAAUGCUUCCUUAGCAUCUCUUCCUCUCCUUCCCUCAAUUCCUCUCAAAAGUGAUUCUCAUGUUUCCUUUCCACAAGAAGCAAAGCAAAGCCUUUGGUGUGUUUGUUGGAAUUUUUAGCACAACCAAUAAGAUUUGAGUUUAUCUCCCCCUCCUAAUGUU